AGACGGAGGGUGCAAGCGUUAAUCGGAAUUACUGGGCGUAAAGCGCUCGUAGGCGGCUUGUUAAGUCGGAUGUGAAAGCCCCGGGCUCAACCUGGGAACUGCAUUCGAUACUGGCAGGCUAGAGUAUAGUAGAGGCAAGUGGAAUUCCGGGUGUAGCGGUGAAAUGCGUAGAUAUCCGGAGGAACAUCAGUGGCGAAGGCGACUUACUGGACCAAUACUGACGCUGAGGUGCGAAAGCGUGGGGAGCAAACCGGAUUAGAAACCCUGGUAGUCC
RNAcentral lists this ribosomal RNA (274 nucleotides) under uncultured bacterium. RNAcentral describes it as "partial 16S ribosomal RNA". It matches the Rfam family "Bacterial small subunit ribosomal RNA", at positions 523 to 796 of the family's 1533-position model. The record is from RNAcentral.